Small nucleolar RNA from Xenopus laevis (African clawed frog), 170 nucleotides. RefSeq annotates it as small nucleolar RNA SNORA74. NCBI's taxonomy places the organism in Eukaryota, Metazoa, Chordata, Amphibia, Anura, Pipidae. The record is from RefSeq and is a predicted model, not a curated record. The transcript has a single exon.
UUCAGUGGUAGUCAGCUAUCCAGUGCUUGUUUGUGCCUGAGAUUGUGUUACACCACUGGAAGAAAAAGGCACUGCUGCAGCUACUGAACUGGUGCUGUAGUGUCAUUCUUCACUGAAAGGGCCUUAACCUACAAAUCUGGUUUUAUGGCACUAGUCUGGAAGAGCACAUU